AGGACCCUGUCCUCCUAUUUUCAGUUGGUUUUGGCAGCGCGAGGACUAGGGUAAUGAUUAAUAGGGAUAGUUGGGGGCAUUAAUAUUUAAUUGUCAGAGGUGAAAUUCUUGGAUUUAUGAAAGAUUAACUUCUGCGAAAGCAUCUGCCAAGGAUGUUUUCAUUAAUCAAGAACGAAAGUUAGGGGAUCGAAGACGAUCAGAUACCGUCGUAGUCUUAACCAUAAACGAUGCCGACCAGCGAUUAGGAGACGUUGAAUACAAAACACCACCAUCGGCGCGGUCGUCCUUGGCGUUCGUGUUCACGCACGGGCGCGAGGGCGGCUUAGCCCGAUGGCACCGGUGAAUGACUCCCCUAGCAGC
Molecule: ribosomal RNA, 360 nt
Filed under: Acanthamoeba sp. 2 MS-2013
Lineage: Eukaryota; Discosea; Longamoebia; Acanthamoebidae
Description: SSU rRNA
Rfam family: Eukaryotic small subunit ribosomal RNA
Source: RNAcentral